UGGUGCCAGCAGCCGCGGUAACUCCAGCUCCAAUAGCGUAUAUUAAAGUUGCUGCAGUUAAAAAGCUCGUAGUUGGAUCUUGACGGCAGUGCCACUGGACUUUGGCGUCUGUGCUCUGUGAGCCGAUUCGUCGGUUCGCGGGUGCUUCGCUUUUGGCUAGUUGGUGGUGCAGUCUUUCAGCCGUGUCUGUGCCUCUCGGGGUGCAGGUGCCGGUUGCCGGUUGGGUUUGACUCGACUGGUGAUUGGUACGCACUACAAUCCGCUUUGUUGUGUGUUGUUGUGCGGGCGGCAUGUUUACUUUGAACAAAUUUGAGUGCUCAAAGCAGGCCAAUGUGUCUGAAAAGUCUUGCAUGGAAUAAUAGAAUAGGACUUCAGUUCUAUUUUGUUGGUUUUCGGAUCUGAAGUAAUGGUUAAGAGAGACAGACGGGGGA
RNAcentral lists this ribosomal RNA (431 nucleotides) under Chalguacotyle mugiloides. Its description in RNAcentral is "bacterial SSU rRNA". It matches the Rfam family "Eukaryotic small subunit ribosomal RNA", at positions 562 to 889 of the family's 1831-position model. The record is from RNAcentral. Lineage: Eukaryota; Metazoa; Platyhelminthes; Monogenea; Mazocraeidea; Diclidophoridae.